RNAcentral lists this unclassified non-coding RNA (327 nucleotides) under uncultured fungus. Its description in RNAcentral is "sequence contains 5.8S rRNA gene". The stretch from base 1 to 53 matches the Rfam family "5.8S ribosomal RNA", at positions 102 to 154 of the family's 154-position model. The record is from RNAcentral. Lineage: Eukaryota; Fungi.
GAACGCACCUUGCGCUCCUUGGUAUUCCGAGGAGCAUGCCUGUUUGAGUGUCAUUAAAUUCUCAACUUCAUUCAGCUUUUGUUAGUUGAAUGUGGCUUGGAUUGUGGGGGGUUGUGCGGGCUUCUUUCAAGUCGGCUCCCUUUAAAUGCAUUAGCGGAAAACCCUUGUGGACCGUCUUUGGUGUGAUAACUAUCUACGCCUGUGGUUUUCCACCGGAUAACCUUCAGUGAUGGAGGUUCGCUGGAGCUCAUAAAUGUCUCUCCUCAGUGAAGACAGCCUUUUGAACGUUUGAUCUCAAAUCAGGUAGGACUACCCGCUGAACUUAAG